Molecule: long non-coding RNA, 377 nt
Organism: Topomyia yanbarensis
Lineage: Eukaryota; Metazoa; Arthropoda; Insecta; Diptera; Culicidae
Exons: 4
Source: RefSeq, a predicted model, not a curated record
GUAAUUCGUUUAACAAAAUCCACCUCUACGUAACGAACUUUAUACCCAAUUAGAUACCGGACUGCUGCUUCUAAUGUGUGUCACGCAUAUUCGAACGUUACUAGCUUCGUGUGAAUUUCUUCAGUAAGACUGCUGUUACUGAGUAAGACCACGGACACUAUCAUCAUUCGGUAACGUGUGCAUUUCAACAGGUAGUAGGUAUACUGCUGUCGCAAAAUGCCACGAUUGUUUGCGUAUUCCUGGAUUAAUCUGUUUGUCUACAGGUAUGAAGAAACUUAAGCGUUGCUGGACUUGGUGUAUAUUUUACAGGUAUUUUAUCAAAGCAAUCGUGUAAUCAUCGCGCUACAUUUUCAUUCCUAGCUAGGUAGCACCAUUAC